UGGGCGAUGGCGCAGGAUUUUGCGGACGUAGCUUUUUCAGGGCUUCCUGGCUCAGGAGCGUUUCCAGACUGGCCACC
Molecule: transfer RNA, 77 nt
Filed under: Pantoea stewartii
Lineage: Bacteria; Pseudomonadati; Pseudomonadota; Gammaproteobacteria; Enterobacterales; Erwiniaceae
Description: tRNA-Glu
Source: RNAcentral